Molecule: long non-coding RNA, 632 nt
Organism: Lagopus muta (rock ptarmigan)
Lineage: Eukaryota; Metazoa; Chordata; Aves; Galliformes; Phasianidae
Exons: 3
Source: RefSeq, a predicted model, not a curated record
AGCUCACCGACCUGCUGGGAGCAUCCCAUGCCCCUGGGGAUAAAGAAGCCAAACGCCUGCUGGAGCGAGCUGACUGAGGGAUUGCUGCUGGAUGGGCCAUAGCACCGUCUCCAGGCUGCAUGCCCUGGAACCUGUUGGUGGCACCGUGAGAACCUCCAUCCUUGGCUGGAAAUGACAAUGUGAAGGCAAGCAGGAAAGAAGACGCCUUAAAAUGAACCUUUUUGGCUCAUAUUUUUGGUGCUUGGGCAUCCCCACAGCACCCUCCAUGCCCUGGGCAUGCAGGCUUUCAGGCUUUUCCCAUCAUGGCUCAUGGUCAACCGUUGUUGGUCAGCUGUUGGUCACUGGCCUUCUUGCCUACAAGGGCACACUGCUGGCUUGUGGUCAACCGUUGUCCCACCACUGGUCACCUGGGACCUCCAGGUCCUUCCCCACGCAGAUCCUCACCAGGAUCUCAUGGAACAGCCCUGUGAGCUCUGCUCUGAUCUCCACAGAUCCAGCACCAAGUCUCUCAGAUGGCCACGGCCGGGUUGGUGCCUGUGAGCAUCGCUCCCAGGGAGCAGCAGCCAGGGAACAGCAGGGGAGAGAACCCAGCAAGCUGGAAAACCAAGGCCAGAAGCAGGGGGAGAUGAGAA